RNAcentral lists this ribosomal RNA (468 nucleotides) under uncultured bacterium. Its description in RNAcentral is "partial 16S ribosomal RNA". It matches the Rfam family "Bacterial small subunit ribosomal RNA", at positions 28 to 507 of the family's 1533-position model. The record is from RNAcentral.
GACGAACGCUGGCGGCGUGCUUAACACAUGCAAGUCGAACGGAAAGGCCCUGCUUGUGGUGGGUGCUCGAGUGGCGAACGGGUGAGUAACACGUGAGUAACCUGCCCUUUACUUUGGGAUAACUGCAAGAAACUGGGGCUAAUACCGGAUAGGAGCUCCUGCUGCAUGGUGGGGGUUGGAAAGUUUCGGCGGUUGGGGAUGGACUCGCGGCUUAUCAGCUUGUUGGUGGGGUAGUGGCUUACCAAGGCUUUGACGGGUAGCCGGCCUGAGAGGGUGACCGGCAACAUUGGGACUGAGAUACGGCCCAGACUCCUACGGGGGGAAGCAGUGGGGAAUAUUGACAAAUGGGCGGAAGCCUGAUGAAGCAACGCCGCGUGCGGGAUGACGGCCUUCGGGUUGUAACCCGCUUUCGCAUGUGACGAAGCGUGAGUGACGGUAAUGGGUAAAGAAGCACCGGCUAACUACGUG